Saccharothrix sp. ALI-22-I is the source of this 113-nucleotide non-coding RNA. The record is from Rfam. NCBI's taxonomy places the organism in Bacteria, Bacillati, Actinomycetota, Actinomycetes, Pseudonocardiales, Pseudonocardiaceae.
GAAGGUCUGGCCCUUCGGAGCCGCCCUGCGGGGGGAGGCUUCAAACCACCUCAAGCUGCGUUGGCUGAAGACCUUGUGAACAUGAACGGAGGCUGGGCUCGGUGAGCUUGGGU